GGGCGAAUGGUUUAGUGGUAUAACGCUUCCUUAGCAUCUUGACUCGGAAAGAGAUUAGAUUGGAAGAGGUCCGGGGUUCGAUUCCCCGUUUGUCCA
This 96-nucleotide transfer RNA is filed under the name Gaeumannomyces tritici R3-111a-1. RNAcentral's name for it is "tRNA GGTG_20027". It matches the Rfam family "tRNA". From Rfam's summary of the family: Transfer RNA (tRNA) molecules are approximately 80 nucleotides in length. Lineage: Eukaryota; Fungi; Ascomycota; Sordariomycetes; Magnaporthales; Magnaporthaceae. The record is from Rfam by way of RNAcentral.